GAGUAAAACUGCAAAGAUUGGUUGCUAAAUGUUGUAAAAUGAAGAAAAUAUCGCACUGUGAAGUUCGCAAAUUUUGUAUAUAUUUGUAUAACCACUUUCAGCUCAAAAAUGGUUAUUUUUACCGCGCGUAAUACAAAUAUAUACAAAAUUUGCGAACUUCACACGGCUAUAUUUUUUUCAUUUUACAACAAUUCGCAACCAAACUUUGCAAUUUUACUC
Non-coding RNA from Paramuricea clavata, 219 nucleotides. Lineage: Eukaryota; Metazoa; Cnidaria; Anthozoa; Malacalcyonacea; Plexauridae. The record is from the annotation of a GenBank genome assembly.